RNAcentral lists this ribosomal RNA (253 nucleotides) under uncultured bacterium. RNAcentral's name for it is "partial 16S ribosomal RNA". It matches the Rfam family "Bacterial small subunit ribosomal RNA", at positions 524 to 776 of the family's 1533-position model. The record is from RNAcentral.
UACGUAGGGCGCAAGCGUUGUCCGGAAUUAUUGGGCGUAAAGAGCUCGUAGGCGGUCUGUCGCGUCGGAUGUGAAAGCCCGGGGCUUAACCCCGGGUCUGCAUUCGAUACGGGCAGACUAGAGUGUGGUAGGGGAGAUCGGAAUUCCUGGUGUAGCGGUGAAAUGCGCAGAUAUCAGGAGGAACACCGGUGGCGAAGGCGGUUCUCUGGGCAUUACCUGACGCUGAGGAGCGAAAGUGUGGGGAGCGAACAGG